GACGAACGCUGGCGGCGUGCUUAACACAUGCAAGUCGAACGGAAAGGCCCUGCUUUUGUGGGGUGCUCGAGUGGCGAACGGGUGAGUAACACGUGAGUAACCUGCCCUUGACUUUGGGAUGACUUCAGGAAACUGGGGCUAAUACCGGAUAGGAGCUCCUGCUGCAUGGUGGGGGUUGGAAAGUUUCGGCGGUUGGGGAUGGACUCGCGGCUUAUCAGCUUGUUGGUGGGGUAGUGGCUUACCAAGGCUUUGACGGGUAGCCGGCCUGAGAGGGUGACCGGCCACAUUGGGACUGAGAUACGGCCCAGACUCCUACGGGAGGCAGCAGUGGGAAUAUUGCACAAUGGGCGGAAGCCUGAUGCAGCAACGCCGCGUGCGGGAUGACGGCCUUCGGGUUGUAAACCGCUUUCGCCUGUGACGAAGCGUGAGUGACGGUAAUGGGUAAAGAAGCACCGGCUAACUACGUG
This 467-nucleotide ribosomal RNA is filed under the name uncultured bacterium. RNAcentral describes it as "partial 16S ribosomal RNA". It matches the Rfam family "Bacterial small subunit ribosomal RNA", at positions 28 to 507 of the family's 1533-position model. The record is from RNAcentral.